UAGGGAAUCUUCGGCAAUGGACGAAAGUCUGACCGAGCAACGCCGCGUGAGUGAAGAAGGUUUUCGGAUCGUAAAACUCUGUUGUUAGAGAAGAACAAGGACGUUAGUAACUGAACGUCCCCUGACGGUAUCUAACCAGAAAGCCACGGCUAACUACGUGCCAGCAGCCGCGGUAAUACGUAGGUGGCAAGCGUUGUCCGGAUUUAUUGGGCGUAAAGCGAGCGCAGGCGGUUUCUUAAGUCUGAUGUGAAAGACCCCGGCGCAACCGGGGAGGGUCAUUGGAAACUGGGAGACUUGAGUGCAGAAGAGGAGAGUGGAAUUCCAUGUGUAGCGGUGAAAUGCGUAGAUAUAUGGAGGAACACCAGUGGCGAAGGCGGCUCUCUUGUCUGUAACUGACGCUGAGGCUCGAAAGCGUGGGGAGCAAACAGG
RNAcentral lists this ribosomal RNA (429 nucleotides) under Gemmatimonadota bacterium. Its description in RNAcentral is "Gemmatimonadetes bacterium partial 16S ribosomal RNA". It matches the Rfam family "Bacterial small subunit ribosomal RNA", at positions 355 to 776 of the family's 1533-position model. The record is from RNAcentral. Lineage: Bacteria; Pseudomonadati; Gemmatimonadota.